AGCAGCCUCACAGUCCACCCGCUGGUGUCCCAGGAACGGGGAUGACGCUGCCCGAUAAGUGGCGACCUUGGAGGAGACAAAAAGAGAGCUUCGCAAAUGGCCCGCACACGUACAGAAGGAGCCGAACCAAGCACCUUUCGAAGAAACGAUCCGCUGCCUCUGCUCUGCAUUGAGACGUCGUUGCAGAAGAGCAGAGGCCCCGGGGCCCCCUGUGAAAGAUCGUUCCGGCGGGCAAACACUCGGCAGCACGCGGUGCUCUGCGGCUUCAGCCAGCCGGAGGGCAGGGGCAUCCAUUUGGGCCCCCCGCAUCCUCCCCCCGUUGCCUCUUCGGGGGCAUUCCUCGACGCAGACAUCGGUUCCUCCUUUCUCUACGAGGGGCCUGGUUGCAUAAAAGGGCCCCGAGUCCGCAGGUAGAAAGAGUGUUCCUUAAACCUGCCCGUGGAACGGACGAACGGUUUUCAGUUCCUUGAAUCUCCAAACACAGCCAUGAAAGCAGCGUUCUUCGUCAUCCUAUCACUGGCGCUCGCCGCAGCAGCCUUUGCAACCGUCGGCCUAGGGCUGAACCUUGGCUAUGGUGUCGCCUCUCCGUAUGGCGCCUACGGUGGAUACAGACCAUACGGCUACAGGCCCUACGGCUACGGCGGUUAUGGCUACGGCUACAGGCCUUACGGCUAUGGUGGAGUUGGUUAUGGCUACAGGCCAUAUGGCGUCGGCUACGGCUACCCUGGCUACGUUGUUGGCUAGUACAAGGUCAAUACAACGAGCACACUUUCCCUGACGAACACAACUGCUACGUGGAAAGCUGCACCAGCCCUCCCACUGCAGUGAAUAAAUUUUAUUCGAAUCCAAAA
Long non-coding RNA from Rhipicephalus microplus (southern cattle tick), 851 nucleotides. Lineage: Eukaryota; Metazoa; Arthropoda; Arachnida; Ixodida; Ixodidae. The record is from RefSeq and is a predicted model, not a curated record.